RNAcentral lists this long non-coding RNA (4787 nucleotides) under Hordeum vulgare. Its description in RNAcentral is "long non-coding RNA (HVUL_LNC005757)". Lineage: Eukaryota; Viridiplantae; Streptophyta; Magnoliopsida; Poales; Poaceae. The record is from RNAcentral.
ACAGAGAAGGCGGCAAGGAUGUGCAAGGUGGCCCUGUGGUGCGUGCAGUACCGGCCGGAGGACAGACCGUCCAUGGGCAAUGUCGUGCGGAUGCUGGAGGGGGAGGAGCAGAUCGCCACGCCGGGCAACCCGUUCGCGCACCUCGCGGCGUAUAGCGCCGGCGCGACGAUGACCGAUGGCACCACCACGGAGUCCUACGGUUCUUCAGCUUUCACCCGCGGGUAGAUGAUGAUGGUUCUCAGAGAAAAACCAGGAGUUUAUGAUCCCAGCUCAGAAAACAAAUUAGUUAAAUUGAAGAAAGAAACAAAACAUUUUUUGCAACAAACAUGGGGCUACUACGGGUCCACCUAAACAUCCGUCACCUCGACGGCCGUCUGAUCCGUUCAUGCGAACCACGUGCGGGGCUCUGGCCGGCACCUAGUGAUUCGUGAAACUACGGUCGAGUUGCAGAAAAAAUCAUUUUAUUGCAAAAAAUAAACUUUGAACCCAUUAAUUCCUGAAACAAAGGUCGAGCUUCACAAACAAUCGCUUUGUUGUAGAUUUUUUUUUCGUCGUCUUUCUGCAACAACGGCCGUGCUGUAGAAACAAUUCCUAAAACAACAAACGGGUUGCAGAAACAAGUCCCGAAAAAACGAACAGGUUGCACAAAUAAUUUCUCCAACUACUGCAACAACAGCCGCGUUGCAGAAACAACGACCACGUUGCAGAAAACUGAAGAGGGGAUGAAUGACUGCAAGAUUAGAGGAGAGGGAGAGGAAGCAGAGGGGAAGAGACGCCUCAUCUUCCGAUGAGCUCUCCUCGGAUGCCCUAGCGCCAUGGACACGUCCAGCUCUUGCAGGAGCUUGAUCCAACCAGCGCCCGAUUGCUCCUCCCGCGGCGCGAGGUCCCACCCACCCAACCGGAUGCCUAGCUGCUCCAGCAGCCGUGGUCAUGGCGCCGGGGCGUCCGUGCCUUCCUGCGAGAUGAGAGAUAUGGAUGAGAGGGUGGGCUCACAAGAGGAAGAUUGGGGAGAUAAAAACGAGCUGGCCCGCAGGGACACGCAUCGCAAGCAUGAGGAGGCGGAUGAGCGGUGAAAAAUCGGCCGUUUGAACCAGAUCUUUUCCCUUAAUUUUUUUAGAAAAAUACUCAUCUAUUUUUGGGCUGUAUUCAGGCAUUAAAGUAAAUAUUCAUGUACUUACUUUAUGAGAAAUAUUAUUACUUAAAAUAAUGUAAUUCCAAAAAAUAUAUAAACAUUAUUUCAAAAAUAUUAUGUAAUUUCAAUAGUAAUAUAAAUUAUAAUGAUAUAUGUGAAUUAAAAAUACGAUCAUUGUAAAUAUGAGCCGUGGUCAUUGGAGUUCAUUUAAGACCCAUCUCGGUCAUUAGGAUGUUUUUUUCGCAAAAAACUCAGGUUGCACGUCAUGACCGCCUUUUCCGUCACUGAUAUUUGGUGUCAUGUCAUGUUGGCUUGCCUCGUCAGCAUGUGAUACGUAUAUAAAACGUGAUCAACAGUGUAGAUGAACGUUUAAACUAAAUUUAUCAUCGGUUCAAUGUAUAUCCCAAGUUUUAAAACUACUUUUCUUGCCAGCUUCCUACUUGUAAACUGAAAACAGAGGAAGCCUUCGAAUGGAGCCCCACGCGUGAUAACAAAAUGUACAUACCCUAUGCCGUGGAACUAGGCUGAAAAACACAACCCCUACGUGGAAGCAAAACGACCAUCACCACCUAACACAACCUCCACCCAAAGCUAUUCGUCGCAUUGUAAGCUAUGUUAGUUUCAAGACAGGAGUAUUGGAUAGCUGAUACUGAGAAAGCUGCGUGUUUUCGAGACGGGAGAACCGGAGAAGAGGAAUAUGGGGGGAGGUAUUAGCUGUCUCCCUCGCUAACAAAUUAAAACUAAUACACUCGCUCUUAUCAUACAAGAGGUAGCCAACGGGUUAGUAAUCGUCGGUCUCACCAUCGGAACUGAUACACAUUUUUUGACCAAAUCGUGUAGAAUAAAAUGGGCAUAUUCGAUUGCUUAAUCCCUGCAGGAGUUGCUAUUGGGUAUUGGCUAUACAUUUUCAAGACAUACGUGUCAGAUCAUCCACACGGUUGACAAUAGAGGACCAAUCAAAAUGCCCAACGGAACAUCAAUUAAUGGUGUAUGUACGCUAGACAUUUGAUCAGCUCCAACCAUCAUUCUUUCCUGCGUUACAUUUAAGUCAAUUACCCUGGUGGGCUGAUCAAACAUGGCGCUUAGCAGUGGUGCCACUCUAGCCUUAGCAAUCAGUAAGUAUGAUGACAUGCAUAUGUGGUUGAACUUUCGCUUCCCAAAUCGCUUCCGAAUCCUGAAAGUUUUGGCUACCAUUUUGCAGUUGCAGUGAUCACGGCUGGCAUAAUAACAGUGGUCGCUAUAGUUGCGAUAUACCAAUGCGCCAGAGCCAAGUACAGCAUGGAAAGGUAUUUGCAGAUGCAGCAGGAAGGCAGAGGUGAUCGCCGGCACGCGUCCAUCGCCUACCGUGACGGAGGGCACACGCCGAGGGUCGUCCAGAACGAGGCCGACGACGUCGAGAUGGGGAGCAUGAGCUUCUUCAUCGAGGGCGUCCAGAACGAGCGGCCUGUCCGCUUCAGCUCGCAGCAGCUGCGGGGCUUCACCCAGGGCUUCGCGCACAAGGUCGGCUCCGGCGGCUUCGGCGUCGUGUACAUGGGCAGGUUCCCCAACGGCACGCCGGUGGCCGUGAAGGUCCUCAACAGCACGCUCGGGAGGCGCGCGGAGGAGCAGUUCAUGGCGGAGGUGGGCACCAUCGGGAGGACCUACCACAUCAACCUCGUCCGCCUCUACGGCUUCUGCUUCGACGCCGCGGUGAAGGCGCUCGUGUAUGAGUACAUGGUGAACGGCUCGCNGAACUAGGCUGAAAAACACAACCCCUACGUGGAAGCAAAACGACCAUCACCACCUAACACAACCUCCACCCAAAGCUAUUCGUCGCAUUGUAAGCUAUGUUAGUUUCAAGACAGGAGUAUUGGAUAGCUGAUACUGAGAAAGCUGCGUGUUUUCGAGACGGGAGAACCGGAGAAGAGGAAUAUGGGGGGAGGUAUUAGCUGUCUCCCUCGCUAACAAAUUAAAACUAAUACACUCGCUCUUAUCAUACAAGAGGUAGCCAACGGGUUAGUAAUCGUCGGUCUCACCAUCGGAACUGAUACACAUUUUUUGACCAAAUCGUGUAGAAUAAAAUGGGCAUAUUCGAUUGCUUAAUCCCUGCAGGAGUUGCUAUUGGGUAUUGGCUAUACAUUUUCAAGACAUACGUGUCAGAUCAUCCACACGGUUGACAAUAGAGGACCAAUCAAAAUGCCCAACGGAACAUCAAUUAAUGGUGUAUGUACGCUAGACAUUUGAUCAGCUCCAACCAUCAUUCUUUCCUGCGUUACAUUUAAGUCAAUUACCCUGGUGGGCUGAUCAAACAUGGCGCUUAGCAGUGGUGCCACUCUAGCCUUAGCAAUCAGUAAGUAUGAUGACAUGCAUAUGUGGUUGAACUUUCGCUUCCCAAAUCGCUUCCGAAUCCUGAAAGUUUUGGCUACCAUUUUGCAGUUGCAGUGAUCACGGCUGGCAUAAUAACAGUGGUCGCUAUAGUUGCGAUAUACCAAUGCGCCAGAGCCAAGUACAGCAUGGAAAGGUAUUUGCAGAUGCAGCAGGAAGGCAGAGGUGAUCGCCGGCACGCGUCCAUCGCCUACCGUGACGGAGGGCACACGCCGAGGGUCGUCCAGAACGAGGCCGACGACGUCGAGAUGGGGAGCAUGAGCUUCUUCAUCGAGGGCGUCCAGAACGAGCGGCCUGUCCGCUUCAGCUCGCAGCAGCUGCGGGGCUUCACCCAGGGCUUCGCGCACAAGGUCGGCUCCGGCGGCUUCGGCGUCGUGUACAUGGGCAGGUUCCCCAACGGCACGCCGGUGGCCGUGAAGGUCCUCAACAGCACGCUCGGGAGGCGCGCGGAGGAGCAGUUCAUGGCGGAGGUGGGCACCAUCGGGAGGACCUACCACAUCAACCUCGUCCGCCUCUACGGCUUCUGCUUCGACGCCGCGGUGAAGGCGCUCGUGUAUGAGUACAUGGUGAACGGCUCGCUGGACCGGCACCUGUUCGGCUCGGCGCCGGAGAAGCGCACCCUCGGGUUCGAGAAGCUCCACGAGAUCGCCGUCGGGACGGCCAAGGCCGUGCGCUACCUGCACGAGGAGUGCCAGCACCGGAUCAUCCACUACGACAUCAAGCCGGAGAAUGUGCUGCUCGGGGCCGACAUGGCCCCCAAGGUGUCCGACUUUGGGCUCGCCAAGCUGUGCGACAGGGAGGACACCCACCUGACCAUCACGGGCGCGCGGGGCACGCCCGGGUACGCGGCGCCGGAGCUAUGGAUGCCGUUGCCGGUCACGCAAAAGUGCGACGUGUACAGCUACGGGAUGCUGCUGUUCGAGAUGCUCGGGCGGCGGAGGAACCUGGAGCUCGGGCUGCACAGCCGCGAGAGCCAGGAGUGGUACCCGCGGUGGGUGUGGCACCGGUUCGAGGCCGGCGAGAUGGACGCCGUGCUGGCGCGCGCAAUGGCCGCGGGGGACCUGGACGACACAGAGAAGGCGGCAAGGAUGUGCAAGGUGGCCCUGUGGUGCGUGCAGUACCGGCCGGAGGACAGACCGUCCAUGGGCAAUGUCGUGCGGAUGCUGGAGGGGGAGGAGCAGAUCGCCACGCCGGGCAACCCGUUCGCGCACCUCGCGGCGUAUAGCGCCGGCGCGACGAUGACCGAUGGCACCACCACGGAGUCCUACGGUUCUUCAGCUUUCACCCGCGG